RNAcentral lists this ribosomal RNA (561 nucleotides) under Podospora fabiformis. RNAcentral's name for it is "partial 28S ribosomal RNA". It matches the Rfam family "Eukaryotic large subunit ribosomal RNA", at positions 38 to 625 of the family's 3401-position model. The record is from RNAcentral. Lineage: Eukaryota; Fungi; Ascomycota; Sordariomycetes; Sordariales; Podosporaceae.
GCAUAUCAAUAAGCGGAGGAAAAGAAACCAACAGGGAUUGCCUCAGUAACGGCGAGUGAAGCGGCAACAGCUCAAAUUUGAAAUCUGGCUUCGGCCCGAGUUGUAAUUUGUAGAGGAAGAUUCUGGUAAGGCACCAUCUGAGUCCCCUGGAACGGGGCGCCAUAGAGGGUGAGAGCCCCGUAUAGUUGGAUGCCGAGCCUCUGUGAAUCUCCUUCGACGAGUCGAGUAGUUUGGGAAUGCUGCUCUAAAUGGGAGGUAAAUUUCUUCUAAAGCUAAAUAUAGGCCAGAGACCGAUAGCGCACAAGUAGAGUGAUCGAAAGAUGAAAAGCACUUUGAAAAGAGGGUUAAACAGCACGUGAAAUUGUUGAAAGGGAAGCGCUUAUGACCAGACUUGCGCCGUGCGGAUCAUCCGGUGUUCUCACCGGUGCACUCCGCGCGGCUCAGGCCAGCAUCGGUUCUCGUGGGGGGAUAAAGGCUCAGGGAACGUAGCUCCUCCGGGAGUGUUAUAGCCCUGGGUGCAAUGCCCUCGCGGGGACCGAGGUUCGCGCUUCUGCAAGGAUG